CCUACGGGUGGCAGCAGUGAGGAAUAUUGGUCAAUGGGCGCGAGCCUGAACCAGCCAAGUAGCGUGAAGGAUGACGGCUCUAUGGUUUGUAAACUUCUUUUAUAAGGGAAUAAAGUGAGGAACGUGUUCCUUUUUGUAUGUACCUUAUGAAUAAGCAUCGGCUAACUCCGUGCCAGCAGCCGCGGUAAUACGGAGGAUGCGAGCGUUAUCCGGAUUUAUUGGGUUUAAAGGGUGCGUAGGUGGGUAGUUAAGUCAGUGGUGAAAGUUUGUGGCUCAACCGUAAAAUUGCCCUUGAUACUGGUUGACUUGAGUAUAGUUGAGGUAGGCGGAAUGCGUGGUGUAGCGGUGAAAUGCAUAGAUAUCACGCAGAACUCCGAUUGCGAAGGCAGCUUACUAAACUAUAACUGACACUGAUGCACGAAAGUGUGGGGAUCAAACAGGAUUAGAUACCCCAGUAGUC
Molecule: ribosomal RNA, 460 nt
Filed under: uncultured bacterium
Lineage: Bacteria
Description: partial 16S ribosomal RNA
Rfam family: Bacterial small subunit ribosomal RNA
Source: RNAcentral